AUAAAUUGAAGUUUUUGUUUGGAGUCGAUGUGGGACUGCUGCAACUACCCACGACCCGGUCUCUUCUCUGGCUUAAUGAGUCCUGGUUGUUUGGUAAUUUCAUUGGAGACCUGUUCACUCCUUGAUGAACCUCUUCAUCGUCGUCUCUGGUAAUGGUGGUAGUGGACAUGCUCUGACUCAGGCUGCAAAUCUCUGAUUCCCGUUAGACGUCUCCAUUGUUAUUGUAAAUGGAGGAUUUUGUUACUGAGAUGGAGAGACUAAAAGGUUUGGCAUUGGUUCUCCUGAGGGUCCUAUAUCUCUUGAUGGUUUUUGAAGUCUUCAACUGUCAAACACGGAAUUGAGGAAGCAAUUAGAAAAUCAUGUUGUUACAAUUGAUACAUUGCACAAUGAGAAUCGUCUGGCUGUUCAGUGUCAUGAAAACGAAAAGAAAGUAUUGAAAGAAUCAGUUGCAAGAGCUUAUCUUGAUGAACUCAAUUAGUUGCAUCACAUUCUGGAGAUUAAACAGAAGUUGCUUGUAGAGGUCAAUAGAAUAUCUGCACAAACAAAACAUGCUAUUGAAGACUUUAAUGAAAGGCUCAAUGGUACAAAGCUGUCAUGUUCUGAAGCAAAUGAAAUAGCGAAUAGGUAACAAGGAGAAGAAUAAAUUUUACGGUUGAUAACAGUGAGCCGAGCCCGACGGGGCAGUGGAUUGGAUUCUCUGUCUCCUCCUGUAGUCUUGUAUCUGAAAAGUUCAUGACCUACAAAACAAGGUGGGUAUUCUUCAAUUCAACUCUCUGGUAAGUGGUUAAUUUUAAAAUGGGAAAGAAGUUGAAGUGGUGAGAGUUAUGUGUGUGUGAUAUCUGCCGCCACCUCUCGAAUCACAACUCAGCUGGCAACCAUCCAUAAGACUUGGUCCGACUCCCUGCUGCUAUUGAAAUGAGAUUUACAUUUUGACAAAAAAAGACAAGAAGAUGAGAUUUGAUUUGAUUUACAUAGAACCUCUAUUCUCUCUCUCUCUCUCUCUCACACACACACACAUGUUAUGUAUAAUAUAUAGAAGAAGAGGAUCUAAUCUAUUGUCAUCGAUUUUAAUUAAACAAAAAGAGAAGGGAUACCCAAUUUUUUAAAUCCA
Molecule: long non-coding RNA, 1111 nt
Organism: Prunus dulcis (almond)
Lineage: Eukaryota; Viridiplantae; Streptophyta; Magnoliopsida; Rosales; Rosaceae
Exons: 6
Source: RefSeq, a predicted model, not a curated record